UUCCUGGUGGCUCAGUGGUAAAGAACCUGCCUGCCAAUGCAGGAGACACAGGUUCGAUUCCUGGGCGGGGAA
Molecule: transfer RNA, 72 nt
Filed under: Ovis aries (sheep)
Lineage: Eukaryota; Metazoa; Chordata; Mammalia; Artiodactyla; Bovidae
Rfam family: tRNA
About the family: Transfer RNA (tRNA) molecules are approximately 80 nucleotides in length.
Source: Rfam by way of RNAcentral